Molecule: long non-coding RNA, 199 nt
Organism: Gadus morhua (Atlantic cod)
Lineage: Eukaryota; Metazoa; Chordata; Actinopteri; Gadiformes; Gadidae
Exons: 3
Source: RefSeq, a predicted model, not a curated record
GGAGGCGAGCUGUGAAUCUGGAGGAUGACAUCACUCUACCAACAAGGAUUACUUUAGGGCCAGACUCACGCUGUUUGUUCCAGACCAGGACUCUGGCUGAGGAGAGCUGAUGGAGGAGCCAAGACACGAGCCAAGAGGACGACAUCACUCCACCAACCAGGAUCCUCAGACAAAUUACGUUUGUAACCAGACCAGGAAU